Stegodyphus mimosarum is the source of this 73-nucleotide non-coding RNA. The record is from Rfam. NCBI's taxonomy places the organism in Eukaryota, Metazoa, Arthropoda, Arachnida, Araneae, Eresidae.
GCCUUCAUGGUGUAAUGGUCAGCACACUGAGCCGGUAUUUCAGAGGUCCGUGGUUCGAUCCCCGGCGAAGGCA